GAGAGAAUUGCUGAGGGGAGUAAAUGAGAGCAUGAACGUAGAUUGCAGCACAGCGCCCAUCAUGCGGGAUGCUUUCAAUAACUCAGAAGAGGAAGUUGGAGGCAUGUGAGGUGCAGGAAGGAUUCUAAGCAGUGGUGCUGGCUUUGAAGAUGGAAGGCAUUGUACCUCAAUGAAUGUGACUGGUUUCUAGAAGCUGAGAGUAGCCAGCCCCCAGCUGACAGCCAACAAGGAAACAGGGACCUUGGUUCUCCAACCACAGAAAAUAGAUUCUACCAACAAGAAUGAGCUUGAAAGCAGAUUCUUCCCUCGCACUUAAAGUCUCCUGCAACUAUGGUGAUACACCUUGAUCCGGCAUCUUCCAUUCACCUCUCCAGAUUCAUUCUCCAUGCCUCAGUACUCUGUGCUAUUUCCCAGAAGGCUGAUCCUUAAGGACUACACCUGUGGGAUCCCUUGUCACUGGCAAUGGGACAAUGGGAGGUGCCAGCAGAAAAUCAGAGUGAUGAAGAAUGAGGUCUGGGUAUUUAUCUCCUGGCUUUCUGUAAGUAUACAAGGUGAUAAAAAGGAAAAUGAUUCCUAACAACUUGGGGGUAUGUGGAAGCAGGGGAAGGGGGUGCUGUGGGCUGAACUGUGUUUCCUCAAAGUCAUAUGCUGAAGCUCAAACUCCUAAUGUGACUGUAUUUGGAGCAGGGGCUUUUAAGAAGUAAAGUUAAAAGAUGUCACAAGGUGAACGUCACAAUCCAUUGGAAUAGGUGACCUUAUAAGAAAAGGGAGAGAGAUCUCUUCCUCUCCAGACACACACACACACACCCACACACACCAAGGAAAGGCCAUGUGAGCACGUGGUGAGAAGGCAGCCGUCUGUAAGCCAGGAAGAGAGACCUCACCAGAACUCAACCAUGUUGGCACCUGAUCUCGAACUUUCCAGCCUCUAGAACUGGAAGAAAGUACAUUUCUGUUUAAACUACCAGGUAUGUGAUAUUUUGUUAUGGCAGCCUGAAAAGACAUACAUGGGCAGGGAAGACUUCUCAGAGGUAUUUCUUGAGCUGAGACUUUUUGUUUCCUAGUGGUGGGAGGUAGGGUUUUCCAGGCAGAGAACACCAUGCAAUAAGGCACAAAAUUUCAGGGAAUAGUAUGUAUCAAGCACUUGGAUCAUAGAGUGCUUGGAAGGGAAGUGGAAGAGGCUGGAAAAGCAAGCAGAGGCCAGAUGUUAGGGUUUAAUGUCAAAGGCCAAGAAAUUUGCCUAAAAGAAGUCCAGUGGGAAACUACUGAGGGUUCUUAAGUCAUCUGAAGUAUGUAAUAGUAUCCAUGUUCAAAAGACCAUUCUUGUGAUUGUGUGAGAGGCCAGACUAAUAAAGAGGUAGAGAAUAAUUUAACUCUGAUUUUUGAAAUGUGCCCGAUGGAGCCCUCAGGGUCCUAAGUCAAGGAUCACCAUGAAGCUGGAGGAGGAGGCUAAGUGGGCAGGGUCAUGGGAUCCCAUGUCUACUUCACCCACAUAAGUUCUGUGGCCCUAGACUAGACCUGGAAUCUUUGUUACACUCAGGACAACUAGUCUAGAAUAUUUUACUUCAAAGACUGUACUGAAAGAGGCUACAUAGGGAGGUCAAAGGCACCUGCUUCAGCUCUUUUAGCUAUGGUGAAAAAGUCAGGGAAUUAUCAAGAAUUCUGAGAGAAAUGUGACUGGACCCAUGCCAGGAAGAUGUCAGAACUACUAAGAAAUACCAAUGGGGUGGACUGUUAUCAACCCCAGCUGAAUGACAGGCCAUAUGCAAAGUCCUAGACUAUUAUGGCUCUUAGAUUUUCAGACUACACCCAGUUGAUUAAAUGAGUCUGUGUGAUAAAUUGAAAUGUAAAAGGUUAUUUUCAUGCCAUGGAGAUCUGCUCUUGUCGGAUAUAUUUUCAUCUGAAAAUAUCGAUUAAAAUGAUUAAUAUAGACAUAACAAAAAUGACUAACUUGCUUUAGAGAAAAGAUGAUAUCUCUUAGGAAUGAGCUUUAAAAUCUCACGAGCGGUUUUUGGCAACUGCAUAGCAGAACUAAAAAGAAUGCAGGUUAAGUAUCUCUUACCCAAAAUGUUUCACAAGUAAAAUAAAACAGAAGUGUAUCAGAUUUCAAAUUUUUUUUAAAUUUUGGAAUAUCUGCAUAAACAAUGAGAUAUCUUGGGGAUAGGGCCCAAGUUUAAACAUAAAAUUAAUUUCUGUUUCAUAUACAGCUUAUGUACAUAAGCUGAUGGUAAUUUUAUACAUAUUUUAAAUAAUUUUGUACAAGACACAAAGGUUUGAAUGCAUUUUUGAAUGCAACCUGUCACACGGUCAGGUAUGUGAAAUUUUCCACUUGUGGCAUCGUGUUGACACUCAAGAAGUUUUGGUUUUGGAGCAUUUUGGAUUUUGGAUUUUAUGUAUUAUAAGAUUGUAAGGUAAAAACUAUGCCCAGGAGAGGGCAGUGCAGCCUUCUGUAAAGUUAACUAAUAGGCCCAAUAGAAAAUAGUGUGAGCAUUAAGAGCAGAGAUGUUCUAAUUCAUGAAAACUAUUUUGUGUUAAGUCACUUUACCUUUUUAAAACAUGAGAGACAUACUGCCACUUCUAUGUCCCUUGAAGAGACAGCACAAGGGAGAGCUGCUUAAGUCUUGUAAAAAAAAAUUCUGGAAAACUUUAGCUCCCUAAAACUGAAGAAUUGUAUCAAAACUGAAGAACUGUAUCAGUUCUAGCAGGUUUCUACUGACUUUCCUAUUUUAAACAAUUAUCUUUGUUUCUGAAAACUGAUUCAAUAAACUAGUUUUUAAAAGAGAUUAAUGUCUAAAAUUUUAUUUGUUUAUAUUCUCCUUUAAUUUACACUGUACACAUCUCCAAGAGCUGAUGAAAGUAUUCUAAACGGUUUCCUGUGGAAAUCUGUAGUACAGA
RNAcentral lists this long non-coding RNA (2895 nucleotides) under Homo sapiens (human). RNAcentral's name for it is "HSALNT0127712". Lineage: Eukaryota; Metazoa; Chordata; Mammalia; Primates; Hominidae. The record is from RNAcentral.